This 776-nucleotide long non-coding RNA is filed under the name Ornithorhynchus anatinus (platypus). RNAcentral's name for it is "lncRNA (ENSOANG00000037380.1)". The record is from RNAcentral. Lineage: Eukaryota; Metazoa; Chordata; Mammalia; Monotremata; Ornithorhynchidae.
CCGGAGAUGAACACCUGCAUCAUGGUCGAGUACAAAGAUGACCGAGCCCACAAGGAUUUCCAGCCUUGGCCCGGCAGCUACGACUACUCGGUGGACUUCCUGGAUCGGUCCUUCCCGUCAGAGAGGCCCAGCCGGGACCACCCCUACGUCGAAGUAAGGAGUCGGCGGGUCGGGGGUCAUAAGGCACACGGUGAAACAUGGACUGCUGUGGGAUGACCUUUACAUCGGAUUCCAGACUCGACUGCAGUGCCAUCCUGACGUAGACCUUCAGCUGUGAGUCUGCCCUUCCCUUCCCCUCCUCUCCUUCCCCCCUCAACUCUUCUUCUUCUUAAUAAUAUCAACUCUCCUUUUUAAUAGUAAUAAUAACAACAGCAUUUGUUAAACACUUACUAUGUGGCAAGCACUGGUUUAAGUGCAGGGAAAGAUACAAAAUAAUCAGGUCCGACGCGGUCCCUGUUCCACAAUGGGUUCACAGUCUAACGUGCAGGGAGAACAAGUACUGAGUCCCCAUUUUUCAGACGAGUUAACGGAGGCAUAGAGAAGUGACUUGCCCAAGGACGUCCAGCAGCCACACCGAAGAGGUAGGAUUAGAAUCCAAGUCCUGUGACUCCAGAGCCUGUGUUCUUUCCGCUAGACCACCCUCUUCACUGUGGACAGGGAAUGUGUCUGUUUACUGUUAUAUUGUAAUAAUAAUAAUAAUGAUUAUGGUAUUUGUUAAAUUUGUUAAACGCUUGCUAUGUGCCAGGCACUGUACUACUCUCCCAAGUGCUUAGUAC